RNAcentral lists this unclassified non-coding RNA (1626 nucleotides) under Leishmania donovani. RNAcentral's name for it is "gene:LdHU3.13.0660(CDS-product:Protein_of_unknown _function_DUF607_putative)". Lineage: Eukaryota; Euglenozoa; Kinetoplastea; Trypanosomatida; Trypanosomatidae. The record is from RNAcentral.
UCGCUUUCAUCACACACACACACGUGUGUGUACGCACAGACAGUCACAGUCGAAUAUAUCGUGCACGCCUCCCUUUUUUUUUUUUCGUGGCUUCAGCGCAAUGAUGUGCCUCAUGUGCGGCCGCGCAGCCACGCGCUGCACACGGCGUCACCUCCUAUUCCGACUGCCGAGGAUGCCUUCCGCCCUGCGGUGCCACAGCACCACGGCUGCUGAUGCUUCAGCGAAGGCAAAACUGACCUCUCCCGGUGCUCCUCUCACCCACGUCCUCAAGCCCAUCCCCACAUCCGGCGCAGCCUCGUCAUUUUCCGUGACGCCCUCGGCCGUUGUUCUUCACACAUCUUACGCUUCGCUUUCAGCCGCCGACGAGGUGGGGCACGACGAGAGCCGCAGCCGUGGCGCGGACGCAGGUGAUGGGUCUACUAGGACUGCCCACCUCACGGCAACGCCGUCGUACGCCGUGACGAACGUUGCUGCGUUCGAGCAGCUCAUUGCGGAGGCGCUGCGCCUGUCUGAGGUAACGCUGGAGGCGGCCGCGACAGUAGGCGCACCACCGGCGCCUUCACCAUCUUCUCCGGUGUUGGCGACGUCGGCUUCUCGGGGAAGUGCUCGCGAGGCCCCCAUCACGCUCAUUGCGGAUCACACGGUUCGCGAACUGCAAGUCCUCCUCGCCGAGGCCGAGCGCACCCUCGCCCCCUUCACGGCACGCAAGGCGAGGAUCGACAAGUUCGUCUAUGGUGUGUAUCUGCCGCUGCUCAAGUACGGCACCUUCGCGUUUUUCGCCGCGCAGCUCGUCGUGUACUUCAACUGGAUCUUCUUUGUGUUUGACUGGAACUUGGUGGAGCCAACCACGUACUUCCUCGCCUACACGGGCAUCUUCUGCAGUUUGGUGUACCACUACUACCACUGCAGCGGAGAUGGGUCUACCUGGAAGGACAUGUUUCAGCAUCUCGCCCGUCGCAAGGCGGAGAAGAAGUACGCGCAAGUGCAGCUGGACGUGGUUGGCAUGGCGCAGCUGCAGCGACGCAUCACCUUGAUCAAAAAGGAGCUGGCCCGCAUGUCUGUCUAGGCGAAGAGCCAAAGACAGCGGCAGCGGCUCUGCACAGAGACGGAGCGAGAGGGCAGACACGCACGCACACACAUGAGGCGUGGGGUACGAGGAGGAAAGCGGCGGUGCCGUCGCUCGCACGUGGCACUUCCUCUUCCGUUUUUUUUUUGUACAUGCCUACUAGUGACGCACUGGCACGCGCAAUCCGCUGCCUUUUGUGCUCUUGUCUCCCUGGCGUGCCUUCCGGCAGAUGUUCAGGUGCGUGUGCGCGUGUGUGUGUGGCUGCACGUCCUGCUGCUGCUGUUGUGGAGUUUCCUGCGCUCUGUGAGUAUGUAAUGCAGCGUUGCACCUCUCCCUCAUCACCUGGCCUCCUCCACCUCCACAUACCACCAGCUGAACACGCACAGCUGCAGUGUCUUCCAUGUCCGCGCUUCCGCGCGUGAUGGCGCGCGCUCCACGGUGACGUGCUCUUUGCCGUCGUUCUAAGUGCGAGCGGGGCAGGUCGUGAAAAGGGGGAGGGGAGGGGAGGGGAGGGGAGGGAGACGGUGCGAAGUUAGGUUGAGUGUGUAUGUGUGCCAGAG